RNAcentral lists this ribosomal RNA (208 nucleotides) under uncultured bacterium. Its description in RNAcentral is "partial 16S ribosomal RNA". It matches the Rfam family "Bacterial small subunit ribosomal RNA", at positions 568 to 774 of the family's 1533-position model. The record is from RNAcentral.
UGUGUAGGCGGUUGCUUAAGUUUGGUGUGAAAUCUCCCGGCUUAACUGGGAGGGUGCGCCGAAUACUGAGUGACUAGAGUGCGGGAGAGGAAAGUGGAAUUCCUGGUGUAGCGGUGAAAUGCGUAGAUAUCAGGAGGAACACCGGUGGUGUAGACGGCUUUCUGGACCGUAACUGACGCUGAGACACGAAAGCGUGGGUAAGCAAACA